GCACCAGGCCUAAUGGACUCUUAAUCUAGCCCUGAAUAUCUGCCUUACUGGAGGUAUGGCAGGGAAGUCAGGGACCCUUGUUCAGUAUUAAACUGUUCAAAAAUGGUUCAACAGUAAAUGGAGGGGUAGUGCCAAGGUACUUCAGGCACUAUAACCAUUUCAGUGUGAUUAAAUGGUUAUAGUGCCUAGAGUGUCCUUUGACAUUGACUCAAACUAUG
Molecule: non-coding RNA, 218 nt
Organism: Pelobates cultripes (western spadefoot toad)
Lineage: Eukaryota; Metazoa; Chordata; Amphibia; Anura; Pelobatidae
Source: the annotation of a GenBank genome assembly